AUUCUUCAGGGCGGGGUGUGAUUCCCCACCGGCGGUAAAGCCCGCAAGCGUAAUGCUGAUCCGGUGAGAUUCCGGAGCCGACGGUAUAGUCCGGAUGAAAGAAGAAG
RNAcentral lists this non-coding RNA (107 nucleotides) under bovine gut metagenome. Its description in RNAcentral is "FMN riboswitch (RFN element)". It matches the Rfam family "FMN riboswitch aptamer (RFN element)". Rfam says of the family: The RFN element is a highly conserved domain that is found frequently in the 5'-untranslated regions of prokaryotic mRNAs that encode for flavin mononucleotide (FMN) biosynthesis and transport proteins. The record is from RNAcentral.